GUGCACCAGUCGCGAAAACUUCACACUGUGCGAAAGCACGAUGAGGGAAUCCCAAGUGCUUGCACGUAAGUGUAAGCUGUUUCUCUGUCUAAAACGCAGAGAGAGUAAGGGCUGGGUAAGACGGGUGCCAGCCGCCGCGGUAAUACCUGCAGCUCAAGUGGUGACCGUUAUUAUUGGGCCUAAAACGUCCGUAGCCGGUUUAAUAAAUGCCUGGGUAAAUUGUGUAGCUUAACUAUACGAAUUCCGGGUAGACUGUUAAACUUGAGACCGGGAGAAGUUAGAGGUACUCCUGGGGUAGAGGUGAAAUUCUGUAAUCCUAGGGGGACCACCAGUGGCGAAGGCGUCUAACUAGAACGGGUCUGACGGUGAGGGACGAAGCCCUGGGGCGCAAACGGGAUUAGAUACCCCUGUAGU
This 414-nucleotide ribosomal RNA is filed under the name uncultured microorganism. RNAcentral's name for it is "bacterial SSU rRNA". It matches the Rfam family "Archaeal small subunit ribosomal RNA", at positions 330 to 745 of the family's 1478-position model. The record is from RNAcentral.